UUGAGAGGGGCUGCUCCUAGUACGAGAGGACCGGAGUGGACGAACCUCUGGUGUUCCGGUUGUCACGCCAGUGGCAUUGCCGGGUAGCUAUGUUCGGAAAAGAUAACCGCUGAAAGCAUCUAAGCGGGAAACUUGCCUCAAGAUGAGAUCUCACUGGGAACUUGAUUCCCCUGAAGGGCCGUCGAAGACUACGACGUUGAUAGGCUGGGUGUGUAAGCGUUGUGAGGCGUUGAGCUAACCAGUACUAAUUGCCCGUGAGGCUUGACCAUAUAACACCCAAACA
RNAcentral lists this ribosomal RNA (283 nucleotides) under Pseudomonas aeruginosa. Its description in RNAcentral is "partial 23S ribosomal RNA". It matches the Rfam family "Bacterial large subunit ribosomal RNA", at positions 2662 to 2925 of the family's 2925-position model. RNAcentral also lists the same sequence under 2 other names. The record is from RNAcentral. Lineage: Bacteria; Pseudomonadati; Pseudomonadota; Gammaproteobacteria; Pseudomonadales; Pseudomonadaceae.